RNAcentral lists this long non-coding RNA (1872 nucleotides) under Marmota monax (woodchuck). Lineage: Eukaryota; Metazoa; Chordata; Mammalia; Rodentia; Sciuridae. The record is from RNAcentral.
CUCCACCAGCACACUCCACACAACUCUCCCGAACGCCACACGGCUCCUCUAGGAACCAACAACUGGAAAUCCCCCCCUCCCGCACUUCCCCAACCAAUGGGAACUCUCCGGGGAUCCCCACGAGAACUCCAAAGUAGUGCGAGAACUCCAAAGUAGCAGGCCGAGGCGGACAGUAAAGGUCUAAUAUACAACCUAAUCAAUCCAGCAUCAUCUUAAUGGCUUACCUCCCAACCAAUACUAUUGGCAAAAUGCCAGGGGCCAUUUCGACUUGGCUGUGGCUCUCAGCAUCAGGUUAAACAGAAAAGGAGGAGGAAUUUAGAUUCUGGUGGGUUUGGUUAGGUAAGGGUGCCUGUCGCACCUGGUGCCUAGGGAAGGAGGGGGACCUGGGUGUUGGGCAUUCCCGUGAGGAAUGGUACAGGGCGCCCACUCGGGGCGGGGUGAGUAUCGAGGCUGCUUGCCAGGCCAUGCAGGCCCACGUCACAGUCCCUGUGAUGCACCUGGGCAGAACUGCACCAGCCUUGGGCAGCAGAUCUUGAGUCUUGACUCCAGGGAGGAGACACUGUGACUUCCCGUGGAGCGCCUUCAGCCAGGAGUGCCACAGAGGGCACAGUGACGUCCCCAUCCAGGUGGCCUCUCUCACCUCUACCUCCAGGUCAGACAGUCCUGCUCUCUUCUUGGAGAAUUCUCCUCUUGUAUUGUUCACAUUUACCCAAGGCUACCAGGUAGACCCUGGGUUCUUGAGGGUGGUGGUGGGGGGGGUCACUCUAUAUACAAUGACUACUCCCUUCAAAAUAAAAAUGGGAACCUGGGCUCUGACGGGUAUCUUUCUGCUUUGUUGUCUGUUUGCAUCAACACUCUCCGUAAAUCCAAAGCAUGGUGGCCAACACGCGCAGACUCGCAGAAACUCCCUGACAGCGGCCAGGACAGACCUGAAGACCCAGCCACCAUUCCCCUCCUGAAGAAGUCAUCACCUGCAGUUGGCCCUGAGCUGCUCAUGGUGGCAGGGGCUUGUCUCUCGGUUUCUUAUCCCAAGGGCCUGGCACUGUGCCCAGCACAUGGUACACUCUCAACAGUUACUGAAUGAAUAAAUGUUCUUCCUCGAAAAGACAAUUACAGGUCUGAACUUCAUGACUCGGUCUUACUUAAAGAAGAAUUUGGGUCAGGGCAUCAGAUGUCAGUCCAGAUCUGUGACGUUGCACAGUUACGAAACCUCUCUGAGCUACGUUUUCCAUGUCUACUUGCUUACAGGAUAAAAUGAAUAUUUUGUCCUUGGGAUAAAAUGAAUGAGUCAUGAGGAAUGCCUAGGACAAGCUGGCAUUUAGGACAUCUCAGUUUCCUACUCCCUUAUGGCUGCAAACACCAGUCUUCUGGUUCCAGGGAAAAUGAAGAUGUUCUUACCAGGGGAGGGGAGGUUGGUUGGUGGGCAGAGAGGAAACCACUGCUCACUCCAGCUCUCACAGAUCUGGAAGGUGUAGUACAGCGCGGACUUAUGUCACUACACUUCAUCGGCCCUGCUGAAUCAGGAGGAACACCAUCUCUCCAGCUCCUGCAGGCUAGGUGCUCCGCUGGGCACAGGGCAUAAACUGAGUCAGGAAUCAGAGAGUACAGCACUUUGCCCAAGGCCACACAGCCAAGAGUGGCAAAGUCAAGCCUUGGCUGAGAACUGAACCAAGGUGCCUGGGCUCCCCCAACCCCCUGUGGCAUCUGAGUCAUAGAUUUCCUUUUAGGAAGGCCACCAAGGGGUCCUAGUGAAGCCCGAAUUAGACAGGCAGUCAGUAUAGAUAGGUAAAUUGAGUCAGGUAGGAUCUAGGGGCCAAUUUUGAGUGAGUCUGAGAAGUUGGAGACUGUCCCUUGAGGGAUCUUAUCAAGAAC